UCAAGUUAUUAAGGGUGCAGGGCGGAUGCCUUGGCACUAGGAGCCGAUGAAGGACGUGAUAAGCUGCGAUAAGCUUCGGGGAGUUGCACGUAAACUUUGAUCCGAAGAUUUCCGAAUGAGGAAACUCACUUAGAGUAAUGUCUAAGUAUCGUUAAGUGAAUACAUAGCUUAGCGAGGGGAACCCGGGGAACUGAAACAUCUAAGUACCCGGAGGAAGAGAAAGAAAUUCGAUUCCGUAAGUAGCGGCGAGCGAACGCGGAACAGGCCAAACCAGUGAAGUUUUCUUCGCUGGGGUUGCGGACAUAUCAUAACGAAGAGGUAUCGUAGAAGAAGAGAGUUGGAAAGCUCCGCCAUAGAUGGUAACAGCCCAGUAUUUUAAACGAGAAGACUUUAGAUAUGAUCCAGAGUACCACGGGACACGUGAAACCCUGUGGGAAGCAGGAGGGACCAUCCUCCAAGCCUAAAUACUACCUAGUGACCGAUAGCGCAUAGUACCGUGAGGGAAAGGUGAAAAGAACCCCGGGAGGGGAGUGAAAAAGAACCUGAAACCCUGUGUUUACAAGCAGUGAAAGUGCAAGCAAGGCACGAUCACGUACUUUUUGUAGAACGGACCGGCGAGUUACGUUAUGCAGCAAGGUUAAGAACUGAAGGUUCGGAGCCGAAGCGAAAGCGAGUCUGAAUAGGGCGAAAGUUGCAUGACGUAGACCCGAAACCGGGUGACCUAUCCAUGAGCAGGUUGAAGUGGAGGUAAAGCUCCAUGGAGGACCGAACCAGACGUCUGUUGAAAAAGGCGGGGAUGACUUGUGGAUAGGGGAGAAAUUCCAAUCGAACCCGGAGAUAGCUGGUUCUCCUCGAAAUAGCUUUAGGGCUAGCCUCAUGGAUCAUUGAUGGGGGUAGAGCACUGAAUGUGCGCGGGGGCCACAAAGCCUACCAAACGCUAUCAAACUUCGAAUACCAUACAAUGCAGACCAUGGGAGUCAGUCCGCGAGAGAUAAGUUCCGCGGGCAAAAGGGGAACACCCCAGAUCAACCGCUAAGGUCCCCAAGUUCACGUUAAGUGGAGAAGGAUGUGGAAUUGCACAGACAACCAGGAUGUUGGCUCAGAAGCAGCCACACAUUUAAAGAGUGCGUAAUAGCUCACUGGUCGAGUGAUUGUGCGCCGAAGAUGUCCGGGGCUAAACGUGACACCGAAGCGAUGGGUGCAUCUGAAGAAGAUGCGCGGUAGAGGAGCAAUGUGCAGAGGCAGAAGCCGUAUCGAGAGGCACGGUGGACACUGCACAAGAGAGAAUGCCGGUAUGAGUAGCGAGAGGCAUGCGAGAAACAUGCCCGUCGAAAGCCCAAGGUUUCCUGGGGAAGGUUCAUCCGCCCAGGGUAAGUCGGGGCCUAAGCCGAGGACGGAAGUCGUAGGCGAUGGACAGCAGGUGUAGAUUCCUGCACUACCGAUGGAAUGAAGCAGUGACACAGAAGGAUAACUCGAGCAGGGUGAUGGUCAACCCUGUGCAAGCAUCAAGGUUGGGUUGUAGUGAAGUACGCAAUCCUAUAAGCUGAGAUGUGAUGCGGACCGAAAUUUCAGUAGGGAAGCGAGUGCGUUCACGCUGGCGAGAAAAGCUGCUAGUACAUCCAAAGGUACCCGUACCGGAAACCGACGCAGGUGGGCGAGGAGAGAAUCCUGAGACGAACGGGAGAACCCUUGUUAAGGAACUCGGCAAAAUGACCCCGUAACUUCGGGAUAAGGGGUGCCUGCGAGAGCAGGCCGCAGAGAAUAGUCACAAGCGACUGUUUAGCAAAAACACAGGUAUCUGCGAAAGCGAGAGCUGACGUAUAGGUGCUGACACCUGCCCGGUGCUGGAAGGUUAAGGGAACAUGUUAGAGCAAUCGAAGCAUCGAACCGAAGCCCCAGUAAACGGCGGCCGUAACUAUAACGGUCCUAAGGUAGCGAAAUUCCUUGUCGGGUAAGUUCCGACCCGCACGAAUGGUGUAACGACUUGUGAGCUGUCUCAACAGGGGGCCCGGUGAAAUUGAAGUAUGGGUGAAGAUGCCCAUUACCCGCGACUGGACGGAGAGACCCCGUAGAGCUUUACUGCAGCCUGAUAUUGAGUUUCGGUAACUGAUGCACAGGAUAGGUGGGAGUCUGAGAGACAUGGGUUUCGGCUCGUGUGCUACUGAUAAUCGUCAGAUUAACUUCUCUGCAAAGGGAACCGGUAAAUAUCGUGCCGCUGCCAAUGGCGACCCGACAAAUCUGGAACAAUUUCAUCUUCCGAAGAUGCAUGCUUUCAACGGAAUGUUGACAGCUAUCAUACAAGCUGGUGAAACUGCCGGAGAAAUUGUAUUUACAGCCAAAGCAAAUGGAGUGAAAGCCGGAAAUAUUCGUAUUCAAACGAAAUAAGGUAUACGCUUUAUAAUAUCUGAUAAGCCACCGGAUUUCUUAACUAAAGAGAAGUCCGGUGGCUUUCAUAUAUAAUAUACUGGAUUUUUCACUUUUACGAGAAAAGAAGCAGGUAAAUACAGGUUAAUAUCUAUCUUUGCCAAAGAAAACGUUACAGAUAUGUCGCACAGGAUUCACUUCCUUAUUUUUACAGGUCUUUUACUGAUGUUCUGUUCAUGCCGGAAAGAAAACUGGUUUGAAUGGCAAGUAAAUCAAAGACACAUGGAAGUAUCUCUGAACAAAGAAUCUGAUUCGCUCUAUGUCAUUCAUUUGAAUACAGACCAACCCUCCCACUCUGUUUGGAAAUUGCCUUAUCCUGUCUAUCAAUUUGAUUAUGGAGAUGUUACAGGAGACGGGAUGCCGGAAAUUAUUGUGGGGGUUAUCAAGCCUACCCGAUUCGAUCCCAAACCU
RNAcentral lists this ribosomal RNA (2835 nucleotides) under human gut metagenome. RNAcentral describes it as "bacterial LSU rRNA". It matches the Rfam family "Bacterial large subunit ribosomal RNA". The record is from RNAcentral.